UUAAAGGAUUUGGAACAACAUGAGGUGUCUAUGUGUGUAGAUUUGGAGCCUCAGUGUUUUGUGACUCUUGAAAACCAGGUCAGCUCAUGCCUCCCGUGAACAACUUAUUAGGUGCUUUAAAGGUUUGUCUGCCAAGUCGAAGCAGACAUGGACAGAUGAAGAUAUUGCCCGCCGAAACACUCCUCCUUGGUGAACAGCUGCUGUUGCAAUAGAAGACAAAUUGAAAUCAGAUCAGAAAGACGAGCAAAGAAGAGAAUGGUAAGUAUGUUUUAAUCAUAUCAAUGAAUCUCACGUUUAAUUCUGGCUGACAUAUUUCCUAAUAAAGUGGCUGUUGGGACUCUGAGUGUCAUGCUAACUUUGGAUUCAGCACUUCUGGUGUAGAGAUGUUAGGCCUCUUCUAACCUUAUGUUCAAUGUAACACAGAAUAUUGGAUGGUGACGACAUAAAAACAGAUGCUCAUGUCAAGCUUGAUGAGGAUUUAGUCCAAGCUUUGAAAGACCCUGUGAUGAAGAAAUUUUCAAAUACCACAGUGUCUGAAUUGCAAGCCCUCAGAUGCAGGAAAUGCAACAAGUCAUACUCAAAGAAAAGUGAUCCUCCACUUGAAGAUGAAGAUGGUGACAAUUGAAAUGUUUGGUUUCUUUGUUUGGUUUAGCCAUUUGCAGGUUUAACUUGAGUUUGAGAAACAAACAAAGAAAAUGCACUUUAUUCACUUCUGUGCUUUGUUGUUUUUCUGUAACUUCUUUGUGUGUGCAGAAAAUUGCAUUGUGAUUCAUUUUUAUUCAGUGAUGGAAUAUUCAUAGUGUACUUUCCAGUAAUAUAGGUAUGACAGAAAUGUUCUACAAAUUGAAUGAAGUAGUUGUGUUAUAGCAUUUCGCUGAUAUUUAUUUUCAUUUAUUAUCAAUCAAUCAAUCA
This is a long non-coding RNA of Sinocyclocheilus grahami, 912 nucleotides long. RefSeq lists it as uncharacterized. The transcript has 5 exons. Lineage: Eukaryota; Metazoa; Chordata; Actinopteri; Cypriniformes; Cyprinidae. The record is from RefSeq and is a predicted model, not a curated record.